CUGGUUAUCACUUUCUCUUAGGGGUCUGUGGGCAGUACGAAAACUUCUUUAAGGUCCUUAAAGCUGGAUGACUUUGUCCAAGCGAAAGCCAAGGUGAGCCCGUCCGUUGCUUUCGACGCCACUAGCAUGAACGAGCUAAGAAAAUGGAACGAACAGUACGGCGAAGGCGGCAGCAGGAGCAAGUCGCCGUUCGGGUUCGGCACCUAACAUGAUUCCGCUUCGAUGCCGGCCCUUUUGCUUGUAGCGGCCAUUCUGCUCCUUCCUCCGGUUUUUGGUACUCACCUAGAGCCUCUUCGAGCGGUGCUAUGGUGGCCCUGUAUCGAUAGGCACACGCCUGACGAACACCGAAGUUUCCUGAGCCACAGCAACUGGGUCGCCCGUUUCUAAUGUUGUACUGUUGCCGUGUCCCAGCGGAGGCCUGACCAAAUUGUACAUAGGUACAACAAUUUUGUACCAAGAACAGCCGACAGUGUACCGUCUCUGAAAUAAAUCACAUGUUCAUGAUUUGAUUUGAUGAUGGUCUUCUGC
Molecule: long non-coding RNA, 528 nt
Organism: Hordeum vulgare subsp. vulgare (domesticated barley)
Lineage: Eukaryota; Viridiplantae; Streptophyta; Magnoliopsida; Poales; Poaceae
Exons: 3
Source: RefSeq, a predicted model, not a curated record